UAGAAAUCAGUACAUAAGUUUGAUGAGAUAUUGUAAUACACAGGCAAUAUACAUAAGGAUAUAAUGUCUGAUUAAAUGAACAAACUGUUAAAUAUUUUAUAAUGAGGAAAAUUUUACUUAUCCUCUCAAUUUUAAACUGAAACAAAUAUCUUCGUAUUCACUAGAUAAAUAAGGUCAUAUAAACAUCAGCCUUAGGAGUGAAAUUGAGUGAAAAUGCCACAGAAUCAGUUCAGAAUACUGUUGAAAAGUGAAUAUAAAUAGUUUGUUAUUAACUUGCAUUAAAUUU
Molecule: long non-coding RNA, 286 nt
Filed under: Citrus maxima (pomelo)
Lineage: Eukaryota; Viridiplantae; Streptophyta; Magnoliopsida; Sapindales; Rutaceae
Description: long non-coding RNA (CMAX_LNC004184)
Source: RNAcentral